UAACCUCACACAGAAUUUCAAACAUCCUUAUUAAUGCAUAGUCCUUUUUUAAAUGAUUUCAUACGAAGAGAGCACAGACGAUGUCAUGUGGAAUGAAGAAAGCCUUUCAAGUAAAGAAGGUUUAGAUAUGCUGCAAAACAAAGUCAAUUGCAGUUUGGAAGGACGACUGACUAAGACGCUCCAAAAAAAUUGUUGUUAUUACAAUGCCAUAAAAUGUGGACACAUCGAAACCUACAAAUGGUUGGUAAACUUAAAAUUGACAAUGAUGUUCGAUUAUACUCACUAUACAAUGAAAAGGAUUUCGUUUUGCUAUAUUUAUGUUCGAAUGCACUUAAACAUACAGUUAAUGCUCAAAUGUACGCGCUAGUUUAUGGAUUUCCCAAAUUCUAUGUGAACAACGAAGACAAUAAUAAACAUACAACUGUUAUGGUACAUGUUACUAGCUUGGUGAAAUUAGACAAUCUAUCAACAGCUCAGAAAAUGGAAAGCCAUUUAUGUAAAUUUAGAAAUUAAUUCACCAAUAAAUUUUGCAUAUCUGCA
Molecule: long non-coding RNA, 540 nt
Organism: Photinus pyralis (common eastern firefly)
Lineage: Eukaryota; Metazoa; Arthropoda; Insecta; Coleoptera; Lampyridae
Exons: 2
Source: RefSeq, a predicted model, not a curated record